Molecule: long non-coding RNA, 995 nt
Organism: Armigeres subalbatus
Lineage: Eukaryota; Metazoa; Arthropoda; Insecta; Diptera; Culicidae
Exons: 2
Source: RefSeq, a predicted model, not a curated record
AAAAUAAUGAGAUUUUUUGGGCAGUUCACAACGCACACUUUUUCCUACUUUGCAGUAGAACGUCUGCCGGGUCGACUAGUUGGUAAUAAAAUUCACCGAUCUCGAGGAUAGACAGCUCGUUUUGUAUUCGUUGAUCUUGAUAUCACCGUUUACCAGGCACCGUGAAUCAGAAAAGUAAGCAGCAAUGUAACUCUAAUGGCGGUAAGCACCAACGAGGAUAAUACUCGAUUUAAUACGGAUUAUAGAAAAUCCGGUAUUAAAGUUAAUACCUUGAACGUUGCGGUGGCCGGUGAUAUACGGAAGGAAGUUCAGGUUUUCACUUUUUUUACGGCAUAGAAUCGGCGGAAUCGGUUUCAUUCGACAAAGAUCCAAGAGACGGAAAUCCAUUUAUGGCGGAAAAAACAAGCAGAUGGCAAUACUUGAGAAAUUGUUACGAUUCCUAGUUGUCUCAAAUUUGUGAAAGUGAUAAAGGUCAGUGUGUUUUGUUUCGAGUCAAGAUCCCUAUUAUGUUCCGCAACUGAUGAGAUGAUCUCUGGAAUAACCCGCUGUGCCAAUCCCGGAUUCUGCACCAGCACUUUGGGAGCGGAACAACCUCUGAGGAACUGAUGACGGCUUCUACGGCGUAAUCGACCAUGCAGAAUAUUUACAAACACCCGUUCCAUAAUUCGCCAUGGCGCAAUGCAUAACUGCUCCACAGGACAUCGGAUCGUCGAUCAGUUUCGAAAAGUCCCACAUAAACCAGUCUCGGUGGAAAUGUCGAAGGAAAGCACGAAGAGAAUCAGGACGACCACGGAUACAUCUCGCGGCACUUCAUAUCAGGCGGAAUUUUCACCAUUUCGGAACCGAAGAAAGCACUCAUGAGCUCGAAUGGGAGAGAAUCUAUACCGAUUGUACAAACCGGUGAAGUGAUAAAGUGGAGUGGGGUGUUAACAGUUUGAUUUUGUUAGUUAACGUUUGUUUUAAUAAAGGAUUUUAUUAUAAUGUAAGCAGAAAAA